Molecule: long non-coding RNA, 4577 nt
Filed under: Equus caballus (horse)
Lineage: Eukaryota; Metazoa; Chordata; Mammalia; Perissodactyla; Equidae
Description: lncRNA (ENSECAG00000049259.1)
Source: RNAcentral
CGUCUCUAUGCAACAGGACUAUGCAUGAUUUUCAUUUCCUGCCUUAUACUUUUUUGUGCUUCCAUAAUUUUCUACAACAAAUGUGCAUUACUUUUAUCAUCAGAAAAGAAUGCUUUCUUUGAGAUCUACAUCCCCUGAAUGGUGACAGUGCUACGCUUUGCACCUCUGCUCAUCUCCAUGUACCUAAAUGACAGGAGAAGAGAUGAAAGACGGAGCAGGACGCAGCCCCCUGUGUGAACUGGGCAGCUAAACAGCAGCCCCAAGGCUGAGGGAGAGGAGACGGUCAGGCCUCGGGCCAUUGAUAGCCCAUGUCGCACCAUUGUGCACAUCCGAGAAAGCGCCCAUCUGGGAAAAUGCAGCCCGUGAGCACACAGCUUGUUGAGCAGACAUGCCUUGGGGUGAUUUAGAAAAAGGUGCCCUCAUCUCUGGAUAGAGACAGCCCCGAUCCAAGACGCACAGCGUGGCCAGCAGAGCUGGGCUGGAUUUCAGCCCCACUCACCUCCUCAGUCACAUACCCUUGUUCUUGUUCUGUGGGUCCUUACCCACUUCUGAGAGCUCUCCAGCUGGAAAGGCUCAGAUGCUGAAUGCGAGGGACAGGUAGGCAAAACCCCAGCUUCUGGGCAUUGCAAGCUCACACACCACCUUCCCACCGCUCAUCUUCCCACUCCUGCUCUGCCUCAUGGGCAGGUGUUAGAAAUGCCACCACUUCAUAGCGACUGCCCCGAGGCCAAAGACCAAGGAAGGAGAGGACCAAGGCCUUCAAGACUGGUCUCUUGACUCCUGCUCCAGUGUUCUCUCCAUUCUGAACUGGCCUCAUUUUUGAGACCCUCCUGACUUCCCACAUCCUGUGCCUCCCCAUCCAUCCACCAGCCAUCUCAGGCUUCAUGGCACAGCUGCAUCUCUAUCUGCAGGGCUUCUGGACUCCACCCCGGCCCCACCUUCCUCUCCUACUUCUCACCUCCUCCAUCCAGAGGACAAGUCACCAGCCGUUCAGAGAGGGGGCCCGGCAUUUCCUGGGUUCUUCCUCUGCUCCUGGUGCAGGUGAGGCCUCCACACGUGUUCCCUCAGGGUCAUCCUCAGCGGGCAUUAUUUCCCCAGACCUGCCAGUGAGAAACCUGAGACUCGGUGAAGGCCAGGAGCUGUCGGAAUCCAUGUGGCCACUAAGGGAGGGACAGGGCUGGGACUGGAACCUCCUCUGUGUGAGUCCACGGUGCCUCUUCAUGUUUGUUCACAGGGAGAAAAGGAAGAGAAAGACGGCUGUGUGUGAGAAAACCCACACAUUUCCUUUUCUUUGUUAAUAACAUGUAAUAAUCCAAAAGCAAGCCUGGUGGGUGGAAAAUCCCUGCUGGCUGUGUUUCCAGGGCCUGGGAGCAUCGAGCGCCUGGCCGGACCCACAGGGCACGGCGCCUGAGGCCGGUCCGCCUCACCGGAGAGGAGCUGCCUCGCAGACCCCGCCAGGCCAGGUCCGCUGCCCUGGACUCUCAGGGACGGCAGAUAGAAAGGUCACCUCAACAGAGGGUGGCUCUUGGGACACAGAGCAGCCUGGGUGUGACCGGGCCACUCGCCUGGCUGCUCUGGCCUUGCCCUGGUCAUGGAAGAGCUUCCCCACCUGCUGGGCCACAGACCCAGCGGCCGAGGCGCCCAAGGCCGGCUGAAGAGAGGGCAGGGAGGCCGCAGGCAGGUUGGCACUAGGAGGGGCUCCACGCAGAACAGAGAGCCUCCCGUCUCAGGCAAUGGAAAACACUAGCAUGGAGAGGAGACUCAGCUACCACUAGUACAGCCUUAGAGAUGACUUCCCCAAGGGUGCCGCCAUCUUAACUUCCCAGCAUGCACUGGGCUCCGGAAACGCCUGCUCAGGGCCGCCUGGUUUACGCGGGAAGGACAAAGAAGCUGGGAGAGGAGGAGAAAAAAGGGGAUUUUUUUAACUACCUACCACGUGAGGUGUUUUUGUUUACCCUAUCUUGUUUACCUGCCACAAGCUUGGGAAGCUGGCGUUACCGUUCUUCCCAUUUUCUAGAAGAGGAAACUGCAACUCUGAGGCAGGAAGUGGCUUGCGGGGUCACAGGGCCGUAAGAACUGGGUUUAAAUACAGGUCUCUAGGGGGCUUGCUCCCUUUUCCCUUCCCAACCCAGUCCGAAGGGAGGUUUCCGCAUUCUUUCCCGGAUGAUUUGCUACCCUGUCCUCCCCUGCCCGUCGCAGCGCCCUGCAGGCCCCCUCCUGCUUCCUGUCUAGGGCCCACGGCAGAAGAGACCCACAGCAGCACCCGCUCCAGGGACUCAGCUUACAGGCUGCCAGGCUCAGGAGAAAGGCAUCGGCAAUUGCUUCGAGCCAAGCAUUAAUAACGCAUUUGACAAUUGAGGAAAUGAGGCCGGAGCCAGUCAGGCUGUGCUGCUCCCGGUGAAGGACCAACCCCUGCAGCGUCCUGUGCUCUCAGCCUCGCAGUACCCAGCAUGCCACACACACCUGGGAUGGCCAUUGGCUCUGACCCCUUGUGUGUUCUCAGGCCUUCGAGAUUUUGAAAGGCAAGUUCAAGAACGUUUUUUAGGAGACUGUUGGCUGCCAAUUGCAAUGAUUUUGUGUGUCCGAGGACUUGGUAAGGGCAGCUAAAGAGAUGUGAAGCUUAUAUGAUGAAAUCUGACUUGCUAAAGGAAUGCAAAACCCUUCCACGUGAUUCACCCUUGCACGCCCGCUCUUGGCCAGCUGUGAAGGGCGCUAUGGCAGCAUCAGAGCUCGGUGACCUCCUCCCUUAAUGUCACAGUGAAGCCAGCACUCUGCUCUCCAGGGAAAGCAGUGAGCCCUCCAUGAGCCAGUUCAGUGCAGCUGAGCAUAUGGACAGGAGCUCGCUGUUGCCGGAGAUGGAGAAUAACAGGCCCGGACACAGGGUGCCCCCAGGAUGAUGGAGCACCCUCCACAUGCUGUCAUGGCGGGCACAAGGGAGCCCCCUGUUCUGCUUUCUCCAAGCCCUCCAUGAUGCCUGAACAGCCCCCCGUGGAAGCUCUGUUCUAAGCAGACUCUCUCCAACAGGUGACAAAGACGGUCCCAGGACUUCAGGCUUAGGCUCUACCCAUCUGGCAACCACCACAGAGCAAGUGACUCCUUCCAGCAAAACUUCCAAGGUUGGGUCUCACUGGUUGAGCUUGAGCCACAUCCCCAUUCCUGAGCCAGUCUCUAUGAUUCAAGGGGGGCCUACAAUUGAGAGUGGGGGGCUUCCCCAAAGGAAAAUUGAGGGGCUAUUCCCAAAGGAUGGAUAAUAGCUGCUGGGCUGGCGGAAACAUCAGCCAUGCCUCCGACAUGGAAGUACUUAGAAUUCUGCCAGACAGGGUCAGACAGGGUCAUUAUUACUGUAGGAGACCACAGUGUGCAUGGCAUUUGGACAAACCCAGGCUGAGAGACCUGCUUCCACAGAGGGGUUGGCAAGACGUCACAGUUUGGUCCAACAUCACCAUACACUUCCUUGGUCUCAGAAGGAGCGAGAAAGGAGCGUGGGUCUGCGACCCUGGGGUCUGCAUUCCUCCCCUCGUUCUGGCAUUCCCUGGCCAUGUGGCCUUGGGAAAGUGACCUAACCAUACUCAGACUUGAUUUUCUCAUCUGGAAAAUGGGAACCAGAAAACCUCUCUUGUAGGGUUGCUGUCAGGAUUGAAAGAGAAGAGGAUCCAGGUGCCUGGAACCAUCCUGGCACACAUCAGGGGCUCAAAGGAUGAUUUUUAAAAGCCCACCUGCCAGCAGGCGCCUGCACUCCUGAAAAGCCCUUUGGGCAUCUGAACUGAGGACCAGAGGACCUUCAGGAAAGCAAUUCCCCUUUGCCUUAGCUGUUGGCGGACUUUACAAAAAGAAGUUAAAUAAAGCCAAUGCUGUGACUCUCUUAGCUCUUUUCCAAGCCCCUUGACUCAGCAGUGGUGAAAACAUGAGGAGAACCAGUCCCACCAAGCCAAUCAAUGGCAAAGACUAGCUCCGAGGUCCCCAGGGCCCAGUGCUCCGGCAUUGAGGCUGCUGCCCUAAGAGGUCGGGAGACAGGAGAAGAGCAGGAAAGAGAAAGCUGCUCGCCCACUGCCACGACCAGUGGAAGCGCUCGUCCAGCUCUGCAGUCAGUGCUCUGUCUUGCUUGGCUGGGAGUUCCCAGGAGCAGGGGAAGCACUUUGUCACUAUGAAAUGCCACAAAAGUGGUUCUCAAAGAGGGCAUCACAGGACCCGCAGCCCUUGGGGAACUAACAGGUGUGCAGUGCAUUCUGGGUGAUUUGAAUUCUGGAGAAAAUCUGGCAUCAAAAUGUUAGGAAAGCCUCCUGUGGUGCAAAAUUUAAAAUAAUGCAAAUCUCCCUUUUCACAUGUUCAAAAUGUGUCAAGAAUUGCAUAACUGCAAACGAACGAGGUGUCAGUGGAGCUUUCUGUGCUGCCCAUGUCAGCACCACCACAGCUAGUGAAUAAUCGUACCCUGCCCUUUAUCCAUGCUGCGAGAAAUAGGUCUUGAAUUAUUCACUUUGUGCACAAUACAGUAGCUUAAAGAAUGGAUCCUGUGCAUGAAACAACCACCCUGACUUGAGAACAAGUGGCUGUGCUCAGACAUGCUCCCUGCACAUCAC